CCUACGGGGCGCAGCAGUGGGGAAUAUUGCACAAUGGGCGCAAGCCUGAUGCAGCGACGCCGCGUGCGGGAUGGAGGCCUUCGGGUUGUAAACCGCUUUUGUUCAAGGGCAAGGCACGGUCUUUGGCCGUGUUGAGUGGAUUGUUCGACUAAGCACCGGCUAACUACGUGCCAGCAGCCGCGGUGAUACGUAGGGUGCAAGCGUUAUCCGGAUUUAUUGGGCGUAAAGGGAUCGUAGGCGGUUCGUCGAGUCCGGUGUGAAAGUCCAACGCUUACGGGUGGAUCCGCGGCAGGUAC
This 296-nucleotide ribosomal RNA is filed under the name uncultured bacterium. RNAcentral describes it as "partial 16S ribosomal RNA". It matches the Rfam family "Bacterial small subunit ribosomal RNA", at positions 338 to 633 of the family's 1533-position model. The record is from RNAcentral.